Molecule: long non-coding RNA, 9700 nt
Organism: Triplophysa dalaica
Lineage: Eukaryota; Metazoa; Chordata; Actinopteri; Cypriniformes; Nemacheilidae
Exons: 4
Source: RefSeq, a predicted model, not a curated record
UAAAAACUAUUAAUAUUUUAAAGCCAAAAACACAAACACCACAUGUAAGUGGAAAGACUUAGCAUUUCUAUGAUAACAAAAUAUUGUUAUCAGUUACAAAGGAAACAAUAUUUAAAUCAGUACACAGAAGCAUACCAUCAUACCAUCACACCACAGUUGACGUCAGAUAGCAGUCAUUGUGAAACUCGCCCUUUGCGCUUCUUGCAUAAAUGAGAUUUACAAGCAAAUUCUGGUCCUGUCUUAACACAAUAUUUUUCUUAAACAACGUCAAUCCAAACCCAUCAGUUCCCUUUUUUUACCUCCCCAUUACCUCUGUCUAACCUUAAAUGGUGGGUAAACCAAACCACAUAAGAAGUGACUAUAACCAAGAGACAAUCUCCUUACUUCCACUUUAAGAGACGGGAAUCUUUAACUUGUCGUAAUUUAUCAAGUAUAAAUAUAGUAAAAGACAAGUAUACAUAAAAAAGUGUAUUUUAAAAUAUAAUGAGAAUUGUUUCGAGUUUUUGCCAGGUAUCUCAGUACAAGCACAGCUUUCUGUAUGUUCAUUAUAGAUUGCAACAUAUUCAAAUAAUUUAACAGUAUUUGCCUGGUUCUUUUUAUUCACCCGGAAGUAAAAGAGGGCAAAAUAAUACAGGCACAGCAUGUAAAUAAAAAUGCGGAUGCAAUCCUUUCUUAAUGAAUUUAGUUUGUGUGUGAAGUGGAUAACUAUAAAUAUAGACUAGAAGAAAUAUGGGAAAAAAACAAGCCGAAAAACUACGCUGUAAAGAAUGAAUGAAUGAGUCAUGUUAAAUGUCUUUGACUUAAAAUAAAAAAUAAAAUAAAUACAUGUGAGGACAACCUUUGAGAAGAAAAUUCUAGUUAUUAUAUUUACAGUUCAGGGACGUUUAACAGAGAGUUUAUUUUCUUACGACUUAACUUGGGAUCUCAUACACUGAAAUAAGAGUAUGUGCCUUAGUAGAUUUUAUGAAUAUAAAUGAUAAAAAUAUACUUAAUAUAAUUAUGUUCCUGUCUUUAACAAAAACAACAUUACUCAUUGCAUGAAAUGUAAUUUUCAUGAUAUCAAGUUAUGUACUCUUUAAGUAAAUCCAUGUGGUCAGGAAGACGUGACGGGAGCCGUGAGGCAGGGCAUAUCUCACAGAGGAGAUUGGUUGUGGGGAUUCAUCUGCUGGAGCUGUGUGGGUCCGGUUUGGCCUUGUUUUGUGGUCGAUGUCGGACAACAGAGGAAUAAAGCUACAACAUGCCAUUACUAUUUUCCCUGGUUGUUCCUCUGUUUUCUGGUGUCGAUCGUGGAGUGGGACCUGGUUGAACCUGCACGAUUUUCGGUGAGUGGGACUUUCUGGGUUGCAUAUGGUAUGCUCUCCCUCUUCCUCUAGUAUAUUUGCUUGGUGGCUUUUGGUGGGGGUCACUGAGUGCAGCUACGAUACGUCAGAGGGGGUCUGGCCCUCCCGGCUGAGCCUGGUUUCUCCUGAGUUUUUUUUAUCCAUUAAUCAAUCAUUGAAGUUUGGGUUCCUCGUCACAGCAGGGUAGUGUUGGCUUGCUCACCGGGAGACUGCAUCUAUUUAUUUAUUUAUUAAUUAGAUAUUAAGUAGAAUGAUCUUGCUUGUUCUAUAAACACCAUGCACUGUGCUGUGUUUUACCAUUUUUGUUUUUUUUCUGUUUGCCCCUAUAAAGCUGUUUUGGAACAAUGCACAUUGUGAAAAUUGCUAUAUAAAUAAAUAAAAUAAACUUGAGCAUAAGAGGACGAGCGACGGGACUGCUGACGAGAGAGGACAAGGCCUGGAUUUUAGUUGUGGUUUGUUUUAUUUGCCGGCAGUCGUCCGUGAGGGCCUGCUGGCUGUCUUUUUACUUUGUUUGUAUGUAUGUUCUUUUGGCCUAUAGUCGACCAAGAGGUAUUUUACUUCCUGUAUUUGUUUGUUUAUUUUAUUAAAACAUUAUUUAAAUGUUCGCCGGUUCCGUCUCCUGCCUUCCUUUUAUUGAACCUUAUUACAAUCCAACUCAAUUUUAGUACGGCAAACACAUUUAAAUUGGUCAAAUUAAGUUUAAUUACUUACUUUGUGUUGAGACUACAUGAAUAUUUUUUGUAGAUAUACUCUAACUACCUUGGCAGUUGAUCUGUAGUUCCAGCAUUGCUCUGUAUCUGACUGAUGUAGCGAUUUUAGCUGCAUGUUAAAAUAAGGAUGAGUUUAACUCGCCAAAUAUGAUUCUCCAACAGAUCUAUCAAGAUCGCAUCUAUGAAAUGAGUUAUUUAAAACGUCAAUUUCAGUCAAGGAAUUAGUUUAGCUCAAAGGAAAAUAUGUAUAAUAAUCGUCAUUACACAUACAUAUUUUACAAUUUCUGAUUAGAGGUGUAGUGAUAAAAAUCCUAUAUGUAUUCGUCCAGCAAAUGCAUCAAUGAUUUUAUACACUAAUGUUAUCUCAUGACCAUAAGUAACGUGACCUUACCAAACAGAAUUAAGAGCAGAGGUAGCAUAGAUCGAAACACAGUUUAAGUGACCAGUUUGUGAGCGUGAGCACAGAAAACCCAUCACAAAAAAUGCCUUUAUGGUUUUUUUAAUAAACUCUACUCUACAUGGUAAACAUAAUGACAAUCGGUUAAAUACAAAUAAAUACAUGAAACACAACGCACUAGGAAGUGCAGAGAGAGAGAGUGAGUGAGAGGGCAUGUAAAACAUGUCUGAAAACCAAUAAAAUCAUUGUAACAAAGUUUGCUUAGAAGGAAGAAAGGAGGCGGGGUUGGCGUGGCUGGGAAACAUAAGAUUCUUCUUUUAUUUUCAAAGACUUCAUGGUUUCAACUUCCCAUCAACUAAACAUUCAAACAACUCUUUUCAGUUGACGAUUCUUUCUUGUAAUCCUGGACGCAACGUCUUGUUGGAGCCGCACACAUCCGUUUCCCAGCCGGUCUCUCUCUCCUCUUCCGUCUCCUCCGUUGAGCUUUAAAGCGUCUACUUGCCAAGUACUAGAAUGAGAAGCCGGUGUUUUCAAUAAGCUGUUGAUCUGCUUACUCACUGUUCUUCUCCCGUGUCUCCCUCUCGGCGCAGACUGCGCUGAACCACGCCCCCCUUGCCACAAUCAUCUUUAACAAAGAGGCAUGCUCUUAACGCAGCUAUUCUAUAUAUAUAAUCGGAUACUUGCUAUCUCGGUGCAAUAUCCGUAUGCGCGUGGAUGGAAAUCUUGAAUGGUUUCAGAAUGCAGUCCUCUUGAAAUGGUGAGUUUAGGUUCCGAGUCCGAAGUUCCAUGGCCUUAUCGGACUCCCCAGAGGGCAGCCGUUAGCCCUUGGAUUGUCCUCCGUGUUCUCUUUCUUUUUCCUCCAAUUCCCAAAUUUCCCCGAAGUGGAUCGGUGAUGGUGUUUUUAAAUGCAUACCUGCCCUGCCCCCAGGUGGCCUGCGGGCCAAUGCCAAGAAAGUGAUAAGUGGGCCAGAGAAAUUUCCUUUGUUUCUCAUGGCGCCUCAUUUGCAUAGCUCUUACAGUAUGGUCAGUUUGCAUUUAAUACUGAAACUUAGUUAUGGACAUAGUAUGGUGCAUGCUAUGUUUUUAUAACAUAGCUCAUCAUAUAGUGAAUGAAGAGAGAAGUAGUUACAUAGGAAACAUGCUAAGCUUUGAGCUGUGAAUCAUCCCAACGUAUGAAUACAUCGAAGUAACCCUAAAUCAAAACUUGUAUAUCUAACCGUUACAGGCUAUUGGAAAUGGCACGAGUGCCAACACACAACCUAGACAUUUAGAUACAUUUAAAGAAAAGGAUAGUUUAAAUCACAUAAGUUGCUAUUUGUUAGAGAAGUUUCUCUUGUUAGCCUCACAUGUUAAGUUAUAGAUGAGACAGAGACUUCUCACCAAUGCGUUGAAGCUUAGGAGUCGUAAAUAUCCUACAGAGAAACCAAAGAGUUAUCACACUCUCGGUGGGAGUUCAAAACCUAAAACCAGACCCCUGGAGCCAGGUUUUGCUAUGUUUUUUUGAUGAUGGUUUCUAGAAACCAGGACAAAAGGGAGUGAGGGAGUUUAUGGCUUCCCUUUCAAUGAUCCAGUCACUACAUCCCGCCUUAUGGAAGUGCGAAUGUAAACUUCAGCUGACGAUGGAUAGUUGGAUCAUGAUAGCGGGGUCCCUGGAGGUUCCUAUUGGUCCACAGCAUCUCAACAUACAGGCUGAGAAUGCUCCCGAGUGCUCCGGCAAUCUUUCAACUUAGGUACCUGUCAUCUUUUCCAUCCUGCUUAGACGUCAAGGGAGAGAACCCCUGCACCUGUUGGUUAGGGUGUUUCCAGUCUCCACAAAGUCUCUAGUCUCUAGCUAACCUAGCUCACGUGGCAAGGCAAAGUUAUGAAACCAAAUCUUGUUCCUCUUGUGAAUUUUGCAGGGUGCAGCAUGCUUUCUGGCCAUCACAAUCGCAGUGAUUGCUGGGCAAAGGCAGGUGUCACACUCCGGUGUCUUUCAUUGAAGUACUGGUGAGCGGUGUAGGGCGUGACAAGGUUGAGGUCUCUUGGCUGGCCCUCGCGAUGUUGUGGUGGUGCCAUCUGACCUCAGGCUGUGAUAAGUGCCAUAUUCUGCUGGUGCUUGGCUACCCCCCUUUCGGUCUGGUCACACUGUCAGUGUAGACAAGUUUUAAGGCAGUGUUCGGCAAGUCCAGCUUUCAAAUGGAUCUCCGUUCAGCAAGGGUAAAUCAUUUUUACAACCAUUUGGUGUGUACAUGGCACCGUCUUGAGCGCUGAUUUACAUGAGUAGGCCGUUCUUUUUAACAGUUCAUGAACCUUGUAGGUGGUGUUCUGUGUAGCCCAGGAUGCAGCUAGCUUGGGAUGUAAUGUCAUGUGGUUUUGUGAGUGGGGCCACAUAGUUGACAUUAGUUCUGCAUAAUUUGCGAGAACCAGGAAGUAGCAGGUUCAGCAUUGGUUAUUCCCUUUCAAGUUCAAGGCACAGGUGUCCUGGGCCGUUGCCGUUCUUGACAUGCAUGAGUCGAAUGGAAACUUGACAGAAGUGGAAAUGUCUGAUGCCGGUGUUGUUGUAGAGAGUGUGUGAACAGUGUAAACAUGAAGACUGAUAUAUCUGCCCAUAGUUCCUGUAGGGUGCCUGCUAUCAUCAUGUCACUUGGUGAUGUGCCUCUGGAAUGUAAGGGCGGGAAACGUUUGGGUCAUCGGCUGGUUCGACCUUGAGACUGAGCUCUCGCGACCAGCUGUGAUGUCAUGCCUCACUUUUGUGACUUGGCAAUGCAUUACAGACGAGUAGGCUGGCUGGAAAGUGGAAGCUUUUUUGUAAUUGUAAUGCUUAAAGUCUCUUAGAGGCUCAAAUUCAGUUCCGCAGGUCUUUCCUGGUGAAGCGAGGGCAUGUAUCCAUCUGUACAUGCUUGUGGAGCUGAUCAGGUGUGUGGGAACUUCUUGUUUCAGUCAUACUUCAGUUGAUGGCAACGUGUGUGUGUCUCGGCUUGUUCUGGGUAGUCAGCCGUCUGCUGAGAUGCGGUCGGGAUGUUCAUCUUGUGUUAGGAUGACUGUCUCUGUGGUCUACCAGCAGGUUGCAGAGAUCUGGGCGUUUUUCUCAGUAGGAGGGCAUUCAACAGGGUUGUUUGUUUCAUUCCCACUCGUGGUCAAAAAGAGUCUGAUUUGGAUUUUCAAAUCCUCCUGUCCUCCUGUUUCUUGUGGAAUCAGCUCAUUUGAUGUCCCAAGGAUCUCUGCUGUCUCAGACGUAGUUGCACUGUUCUUUUGCUCUCUGGACAGGUGUCAUCCAUAGUGUUGAGAUGAAUUCCUUGAUGACUGUUGGGCCGGUACUGGGGAGUGGCUCCUAGGUUGCCAGCUGUGUUUCCACGGGGCACUUUCUUUCGAGUCCAACAUAAGUGGUCAGCUCCAUGUUGUCUCAGGUCAUCCUGUCUGGUGCUUGGCUGUUCCCGGCAGGCUGUAAUAUCUGAUGAGUCUCUGCUGAAGAUCUGCUAUUGUGGCGCACCCACCAUAGUCAGUUAUUUGUGAUGUGCAGAGAUAGGCAGGAUUUACAGUUUUUAUGGAGGCAGCGCUAUGUUCUCUAUGGGCCUUAUGGGCUGAGUUCCGCAGAUAUCAGGUGAUCGUGGAGUAAAAAGGCUGUAGUGCUUAGGUUAUGAUUCAAAGUGUGAUAUGGAUUUCUUAGGGAGAAUAGUUUUGCUUUGAAGCCUUCUUCCCUUUCGGCCUGUUCUGUCGUCUGAUGUAGGCUCGGAUGCUGGCAGUAGCAGAUGUGUUGUAGCUGCUGGAAUCCGCUUUGACAGUUUCUGACUGCUGGCAUAGGAUGUUGUGCGGCUUUUUUCACCUGAAAAUCUGCCAGGACCUUCCGCGGUAAUCUAAAUAUCAGUUUAGAAGAUGGACGUGCUCAAAAGUGUGGCUUCAUUUUGUGAAGACCGAAGACAAAGCUAAGUGUAAUUAUUGUAAUAAACGAAUAUGUUGCAAGAAAGGCGUCAUGACCAACGUGCCUAAGCAUCUGCGGUUGGUUUACCGUGUCGAAUUAAAAGAAUGCACCAUGUUUGAUUCAAUGCACAGACCAAGUGCCGAUUGCCCAUUAGCCGGCACUAGUACGGCGACAUCGCCACAAAAUGUUGCUGUCACUGUUGAUAAUGCUGCCAACAUGGAUGUGGCAAUAUAAAAAGGUUCAUAAAGCAAUUGCACAAUUCAUAAAGCUAGGUUGCUUUUCCCAUACACUUAAUCUUGGAGCUCAGAGUGCCCAUUCAGUGGCAUCAGUGGCAAAUUGGACGGCAAAGAUCCGGAACGUUGUUAUUUGGAUGAAGAGGUCAUCUAUGGCAAAGACUGUACUCCGGGAAAAACCUAAGUAAGAGUUCCUCUCUUUACCAGCACUGUUAUUAUUAUAAAAAAUUAUAUAGUAUGUAAAGAGAAUUUUAUGAAGUUUAACAUUUGUUUAAAAAAGUCUACUUGAUAGAACAGUUCCUGGAGCAGUACCAUGCUAUUCAGGCAGCCAGCUUGGAUCAGCGUAUGAGGAAGCCAAUAGAUAGAGACCGGUAAGUAAAAAGAGUUUGCAUAGUUCUUUGCUAUGAGUGAUAUGAUUAUAAAGGUGAAAACUUUCCUAAGCUGCUUUGUCAUGUAACAUAAAAAAAUGUUGUCUUUAUAAAACAGACUUGCUCGGCUGACUGAAGAAGAUUUCAGAAAGGGAGAAGACUUUGUACAUCUGAUGAGAAUUUUAUACACAUCUACACUCUGUGUUUCUUCUGAAAAGAGCCCUAAAUGUGGUCAGGUCCUACUAAUUCUUCAAAAGCUUGUGAAACACUUCCCAGUUGUAGAGGACGACACAGUGUUUGUGUCCAGCAUUAAGCAGGCUGUCUGGCAAAACCUGUCUAAGCGAUACCAGAGGGAUGACAUCAGAAGCUUUCUUGAGGAGUUGAAGACAGCAGUUGAAGACAGCAGUCUGGAUCCGCAUACUAGAAAAGCUUAUGGCAGCAAAUCUAAUCUGAGUCUACACAGCCAAAAGUGGAUUGUGAAGAAGGGACUACAAUGCAGUCAAAUGAGGAGAGGAGAGAAGAAAACAAAGAAAUAAUGACAUCACAGACAGAGGGGAAACCACCUCCCUGCAAAAGAGCCAUAAUAUCCCCAUUGGGGGAGCUAUUUGCAGCAGAUGAUGAAUUGAAAAUGAAAUCCACAGAGAGCUCAACAUUGUCCUUUGACAACAAAGUGGAUGCAGAGAUAAAGAUGUACCAAGACAUUCCACCUACAAUGACAUUUGACGACCCUGCUGCCUGGUGGUGGAAACAGAAAAACGCAUAUCCUUUCCUGUCAGAUCUUGCCUCUUCAUAUUUAUGUGUGCAGGCCUCUUCAACCCCAAGUGAAAGGAUUUUUUCCACUGCUGGAGACACUAUUUGCCCAGAAAGAUCUCGUAUACUCCCGGAAAAGGCUGAUAUGUUGAUUUUUCUGAAUAAAAAUUGUUAAGCACUGGUGAAAACUGUAUGAAAAACUAAUGGCACAGAAAAUAAACAUGUUUGAUAUAUAAAUGUUUGGCUUUUGCUAUUUUUAAAAAAAAUUACAUUGGAAUCGAAACUGGGGAUCGAAAAGAAUCGUAAUCGACAAGCAGAAUCGGAAUCGAUAAAACACAAACGAUACCCAACCCUAGUCAUAAUUCUGUUUCCAUCAUGAAUUUCUUGUGGCAGAGUCAUGGCAGAGAGAAACAUAUUAUUGUCGGUCAAGACAUAAUAUGCAUUCUCUCCGGUCUCGUAUUUGGCCCCGCCCCUCGUUUAGCUUUCCACCUGUGUCUCAUUACCCACACCUGCCCAUUGUUAUCUUCCCUUGUUAGUUCCCCUUUAUAAUCCCCUCAUGUCUAUUGGCCUGUGCUCUUCGUUUGCGUGUUUGCUCAUUGCUUUGUCUCUUGCCUUGUUCCUGUUUCCUGUGACCGUCAAGUUUGUGGAUAUAUUAUUUAUAUUAUUCAUAUUAUUAUUGGACCUUGUUUAUCUUGCCCCCUCGCGGGAAGUUUUUGUUUGAAUUCUUGUUUUGUUAUAGUUUUGCCCAUAGUGGGUGUUUUGUGUUUAAUAAAUUAUUAUUGUAACCCCUUCAUCGCUGCCUCUACUUGGGUUCUCUCACACAAUCCCUGAAACCAAGAACUCUUAGGUUACAAGCAUUCGUCCAAAUAUCUUUCUUUGUGUUUAACCAAACAAAGAAAUUUAUACAGGUAUGUAAGAGUCCAAAAUUUGUGUCCAAAAUUUUUGCAUGUUGAAAAAUAAAUACAACCUCUAGUUGUGUCAAUCACAUUUACACACUGCCACCGUCAUUUUAAUCUUUCAUAAAAAAAUCGUACUGGGUUUGAUUAAGUAACAAGCAUUUGAGAGGUGUUUUGACAAUUCAGGGACAUUUUACAAACGAGCUGUUCAGGGUCUACGUCGGUCCAUUCGUGAAUCUGAAAUAGAGUUUCAGGGGAGAAAUAACAAAACAGUUGGCGGCAAAUGGGUGUGAAAAACGGGAGAUCUGACAGGUAUGCUAGAAAAUGCAGGCAGAGAGAGAGAGAACUGCCUACCUAGCAAGCCGCUACUGUCUACGAUGUAAGGAGAGAUAACGAGAGAGUCAGAGGGAACGCAGGGUCAGGCUGUAUUGUUUUACCUUUUUUUGGAAACAAAUGAAUUCAUACGUAUCAGACUCUGAGCAUAUUCAGACUAAUUGAUGGUGAAUCCUUGUUAUCUAUUUGCUUGAGAUAAGUCGUCCAUAUUUUGGAGCUUGUCUUUUAAAAACUGUACAGUCCCUCACAGGAGCAGCCAGUCUUAACUUUGAUAUGCAACCAAAAAGCUACUUGAAAAUAUGGUUAGGAAAAUGGGCAUCUGAUUCUUCUCCAUUAAGACUGUGGAGGUGGAAUGUGCGUAAUUCAAGCCUUGAUCUCUGGCUAAGUGCUAUUUGUGCACGUCAUUGUCUGAUUAAUUCAUCACAAGUGAUAGGCGGAUAAUUUAGGCUAAUGGCCUGUCUCUUAACACUUUAUAUGGUCUGGUAACAGGCAAAGCAGCAUGUAUCAGGGCAGUUCUUAGAUGGUGAUUGUCGGGGAGCAUUGGUGUGGGGAAAGGGGGGGGUCUCCAUCUGUGUCACCCAUCUGUGGAUGAAGCUUGUUCAUCUCCAUGAUGAGGGUACAGGUUGUCUUUGAUCAGGGGGACCAUACAAGAUGGUAAUGAUACAGUAUCUGAGACACAGUUGGUUGUGUCUUUUUUCCAAGGGUGGUGGUUUACAGUCACCAAUUAUUCCUAGUCAGUGCACAAUUUUUUAGGACAUGGGAAUAAGAUACAUAC